UACGUAGGGGGCGAGCGUUGUCCGGAUUUAUUGGGCGUAAAGAGCUCGUAGGCGGUUUGGUAAGUUGGAUGUGAAAUCUCCAGGCUCAACUUGGAGGGGUCAUUCGAUACUACCAUGACUAGAGUUCGGUAGGGGAGUGUGGAAUUCCUGGUGGAGCGGUGAAAUGCGCAGAUAUCAGGAGGAACACCCGUAGCGAAGGCGGCACUCUGGGCCGGAACUGACGCUGAGGCACGAAAGCGUGGGGAGCAAACAGG
This 254-nucleotide ribosomal RNA is filed under the name uncultured bacterium. RNAcentral's name for it is "partial 16S ribosomal RNA". It matches the Rfam family "Bacterial small subunit ribosomal RNA", at positions 524 to 776 of the family's 1533-position model. The record is from RNAcentral.